AGCGAACGCUGGCGGCAGGCUUAACACAUGCAAGUCGAACGCAUCCUUCGGGGUGAGUGGCAGACGGGUGAGUAACACGUGGGAACGUACCUUUUGGUUCGGAAUAACUCAGGGAAACUUGUGCUAAUACCGGAUACGCCCUUAGGGGGAAAGAUUUAUUGCCGAAAGAUCGGCCCGCGUCUGAUUAGCUAGUUGGUAGGGUAAUGGCCUACCAAGGCGACGAUCAGUAGCUGGUCUGAGAGGAUGAUCAGCCACACUGGGACUGAGACACGGCCCAGACUCCUACGGGAGGCAGCAGUGGGGAAUAUUGGACAAUGGGCGCAAGCCUGAUCCAGCCAUGCCGCGUGAGUGAUGAAGGCCUUAGGGUUGUAAAGCUCUUUCGGCGGGGACGAUAAUGACGGUACCCGCAGAAGAAGCCCCGGCUAACUUCGUGCCAGCCGCCGCAGUAAUAC
RNAcentral lists this ribosomal RNA (452 nucleotides) under uncultured bacterium. RNAcentral describes it as "bacterial SSU rRNA". It matches the Rfam family "Bacterial small subunit ribosomal RNA", at positions 29 to 526 of the family's 1533-position model. The record is from RNAcentral.